CCGAGGUAAGUACCCGAACUUUGCCUUUCCCAUGAUGAUACUAACAAAGAGUCCACUUAUUGUUGCCAUUCCUCAUGAUGUACAUCACAAGUAUCAUCCACGAGGCCACUCAAUGGUCUGCCCCGUGUGUGUGGAAAAAGCCCAUGGUCGUCCUUUCCAACACGACACCCAAUUGAGAGUGACCACGUCACUCAGGCCACUUGUAAUGCCUGCUCUCAUCUACUACCAAACAAAGUAUUCAACAAAGCCCCGUUCCAUAAGGGGUAUCGUGGUUGCCCAUGUAUGUCUGGGAUGGUCUCCACAUCUUAAAUCUAAUACGUUUUCGU
RNAcentral lists this long non-coding RNA (326 nucleotides) under Hordeum vulgare. Its description in RNAcentral is "long non-coding RNA (HVUL_LNC000942)". Lineage: Eukaryota; Viridiplantae; Streptophyta; Magnoliopsida; Poales; Poaceae. The record is from RNAcentral.